RNAcentral lists this ribosomal RNA (855 nucleotides) under Triticum aestivum (bread wheat). RNAcentral describes it as "partial small subunit ribosomal RNA". Lineage: Eukaryota; Viridiplantae; Streptophyta; Magnoliopsida; Poales; Poaceae. The record is from RNAcentral.
AUGCCCUACAUACCAGCUGACGUCACAAACCUAAAGGCAAAGUACCGUAGAGAGAGCAAGUUGGCUGACAUAGAGGCCACAAUGGCCUACUUUGAUGAGAAAGCGAAGGAAGAUCCAGAUUUAUUCUACAGGAUAAGGUUGGACGAUGAGAACCGGGUCAGGAACAUUUAUUGGGUGGAUGGUGCUGCAAGGAGAGCCUACAAACAUUUCCGAGAUUGCAUUUCAUUCGACGCGACGUAUCUAACUAAUAUGUACAAGAUGCCAUGCGCUCCAUUCAUAGGAAUAAAUAACCACAAUCAGUCAUUGUAGUUUGGCUGCGGGCUCGUUCGGAACAAAGACACAGAUGGGUACGCUUGGCUAUUCAAGACCUUCUUGGAGUGCAUGGAUGGACUUGCUCCGAUGAACAUAAUAACAGACCAGGAUUUUAGCAUGCGUGCAGGCAUAGAGGAGGUCUUUCUGUUGGCAGUGCACAUGAACUGCAGGUGGCACAUUAUAAAGAAGGCUGAGGAGACGCUAGGACCGUUCUUUGCCGACCGUCCGGAGCUGCACAAGGCAUUUGAGAUGUGCGUGGACCACAGCUUGACAGUGGAGGAGUUUGAAAGGAGAUGGAUGGCCAUGAUUGAAACAUAUCAAGUACAAGACAACAAGACUCUUGCUAGCCUGUGGGAGAAGCGAAUGUACUGGGUGCCAGCCUACUUCAUGCAGUGCUUCUUCCCAUUUCUGCAGACUGCGCAACGUAGCGAGGGGUUCAAUGCUGUUUUGAAGCGGUACGUGAGCCCUGGCAACUCAUUGCUACAAUUUGCCAAGCAAUACACAACUUUGCAACAAAAAAUACUUGGAUCUGAGCUACAGUAA